GGACCCGCACAAGUAGUGGAGCAUGUGGUUUAAUUCGAAGAUACGCGCAGAACCUUACCAACACUUGACAUGUUCGUCGCGACUCUAAGAGAUUAGAGUUUUCGGUUCGGCCGGACGAAACACAGGUGCUGCAUGGCUGUCGUCAGCUCGUGUCGUGAGAUGUUGGGUUAAGUCCCGCAACGAGCGCAACCCUCACUUUUAGUUGCCAUCAUUAAGUUGGGCACUCUGAAAGAACUGCCAGUGAUAAGCUGGAGGAAGGUGGGGAUGACGUCAAGUCCUCAUGGCCCUUACGUGUUGGGCUACACACGUGCUACAAUGGUAUCUACAACAGGAAGCAAGACUGCGAAGUUAAGCAAAUCCCUAAAAGAUACCUCAGUUCGGAUUGCACUCUGCAACUCGAGUGCAUG
Molecule: ribosomal RNA, 407 nt
Filed under: uncultured bacterium
Lineage: Bacteria
Description: bacterial SSU rRNA
Rfam family: Bacterial small subunit ribosomal RNA
Source: RNAcentral